GCUAAUACCGCAUAAGCGCACGGAGCCGCAUGGCGCAGUGUGAAAAACUCCGGUGGUAUGGGAUGGAUCCGCGUCUGAUUAGCUAGUUGGCGGGGUAACGGCCCACCAAGGCAGCGAUCAGUAGCCGACCUGAGAGGGUGGCCGGCCACAUUGGGACUGAGACACGGCCCAAACUCCUACGGGAGGCAGCAGUGGGGAAUAUUGCACAAUGGGGGAAACCCUGAUGCAGCAACGCCGCGUGAGUGAAGAAGUAUUUCGGUAUGUAAAGCUCUAUCAGCAGGGAAGAAGAAAGACGGUACCUGACUAAGAAGCCCCGGCUAACUACGUGCCAGCAGCCGCGGUAAUACGUAGGGGGCGAGCGUUAUCCGGAUUUACUGGGUGUAAAGGGAGCGUAGACGGUUUUUCAAGUCUGAAGUGAAAGCCCGCGGCUCAACUGCGGAACGGCUUUGGAAACUGAGGGACUAGAGUGCUGGAGGGGCAGGCGGAAUUCCUGGUGUAGCGGUGAAAUGCGUAGAUAUCAGGAGGAACACCGGUGGCGAAGGCGGCCUGCUGGACAGUAACUGACGUUGAGGCUCGAAAGCGUGGGGAGCAACAGGAUUAGAUACCCUGGUAGUCCACGCGGUAAACGAUGAAUGCUAGGUGU
Molecule: ribosomal RNA, 643 nt
Filed under: uncultured bacterium
Lineage: Bacteria
Description: bacterial SSU rRNA
Rfam family: Bacterial small subunit ribosomal RNA
Source: RNAcentral